Molecule: ribosomal RNA, 253 nt
Filed under: uncultured bacterium
Lineage: Bacteria
Description: partial 16S ribosomal RNA
Rfam family: Bacterial small subunit ribosomal RNA
Source: RNAcentral
UACGUAGGGGGCAAGCGUUGUCCGGAUUUAUUGGGCGUAAAGAGCGUGUAGGCGGCCUUACAGGUCAGCUGUGAAAACUCGAGGCUCAACCUCGAGAGGUCGGUUGAAACCGUAUGGCUAGAGUCCGGAAGAGGAGAGUGGAAUUCCCGGUGUAGCGGUGAAAUGCGCAGAUAUCGGGAGGAACACCAAUGGCGGAGGCAGCUCGCUGGGACGGUACUGACGCUGAGACGCGAAAGCGUGGGGAGCAAACAGG